ACGGCCUUGUAGCCGUCAGGUGCCCCCGCAAGGGGAUAAUAGGGAAUCAGGUGUGAUACCUGAGCGGUCUCCGCCACUGUAACCGGUUAGCUGCCUUCAUUUGCCACCGCCAGGGAAGGCGUAAGGCAAGCGAUGAGCCGGGAGCCAGGAUACCUGCCUGCCGGUGCCUUGGCGC
This 175-nucleotide non-coding RNA is filed under the name Desulfotomaculum sp. Lineage: Bacteria; Bacillati; Bacillota; Clostridia; Eubacteriales; Desulfotomaculaceae. RNAcentral also lists the same sequence under 1 other name. The record is from RNAcentral.